GCCGCCUUGGCGUAGUGGUAGCGCGUCGCACUUGUAUUCCGUGAAUGUGAAAUGCGAAGGUCACUCGUUCAACCCGGGUAGGUGGCA
Non-coding RNA from Cristinia sonorae, 87 nucleotides. The record is from the annotation of a GenBank genome assembly. Lineage: Eukaryota; Fungi; Basidiomycota; Agaricomycetes; Agaricales; Stephanosporaceae.